Molecule: ribosomal RNA, 191 nt
Filed under: Anabaena sp. BTA1056
Lineage: Bacteria; Bacillati; Cyanobacteriota; Cyanophyceae; Nostocales; Nostocaceae
Description: partial 16S ribosomal RNA
Rfam family: Bacterial small subunit ribosomal RNA
Source: RNAcentral
GAGCCGUGCAGUAGAUAACGUGAUAAGUAUCCCGCCUGGGGAGUACGCACGCAAGUGUGAAACUCAAAGGAAUUGACGGGGGCCCCCACAAGCGGUGGAGUAUGUGGUUUUAUUUGAUGCAACGCGAAGAACCUUACCAAGGCUUGACAUGUCGCGAACUCUUCUGAAAGGAAGAGGUGCCUUCGGGAGCG